GCAGUGGUGUUUUAAUGGUAGAACUCUUGUCUUCUACUCAGGAGACCCAGGUUUGAUUUCCGGUCAGUGCA
Molecule: transfer RNA, 71 nt
Filed under: Loxodonta africana (African savanna elephant)
Lineage: Eukaryota; Metazoa; Chordata; Mammalia; Proboscidea; Elephantidae
Rfam family: tRNA
About the family: Transfer RNA (tRNA) molecules are approximately 80 nucleotides in length.
Source: Rfam by way of RNAcentral